UUUCCGGGUUGAUCCUGCCGCCGGCCACCGCUAUCAAGUUCCGACUAAGCCAUGCGAGUCAAGGUAUCGUAAGAUGCCGGCAAACUGCUCAGUAACACGUGGAUAAUCUAACCUUGAGUAAGGGAUAACCUCGGGAAACUGAGGAUAAUACCUUAUAAUUGCUUAAAACUGGAAUGUUUAAGCAAUAAAAGUUCCGACGCUCAAGGAUGAGUCUGCGGCCUAUCAGGUAGUAUGUGGUGUAAUGGACCACCUAGCCUCAGACGGGUACGGGCCCUGGGAGGGGUAGCCCGGAGAUGGACUCUGAGACAUCAGUCCAGGCCCUACGGGGCGCAGCAGGCGCGAACACUGUGCAAUGCGCGAAAGCGCGACACGGGGAGCUUGAGUGUCUUGGCAUAGCCAAGACUUUUCUCAUUCCUAAAAAGCAUGAGGAAUAAGUGCUGGGUAAGACGGGUGCCAGCCGCCGCGGUAACACCCGCAGCACAAGUGGUGGUCACUUUUAUUGAGCCUAAAGCGUUCGUAGCCGGUUUUGUAAAUCUUUAGAUAAAGCCUGAAGCUUAACUCCAGAAAGUCUGAAGAGACUGCAAGACUUGAGAUCGGGUGAGGUUAAACGUACUUUCAGGGUAGGGGUAAAAUCCUGUAAUCCCGGAAGGACGACCAGUGGCGAAAGCGUUUAACUAGAACGAAUCUGACGGUAAGGAACGAAGGCUAGGGUAGCAAACCGGAUUAGAUACCCGGGUAGUCCUAGCUGUAAACACUGCCCAUUUGAUGUUGCUUUUCCGUUGAGGGAAGGCAGUGUCGGAGCGAAGGUGUUAAAUGGGCCGCUUGGGAAGUAUGGUCGCAAGACUGAAACUUAAAGGAAUUGGCGGGGGAGCACCGCAACGGGAGGAAUGUGCGGUUUAAUUGGAUUCAACGCCGGA
Molecule: ribosomal RNA, 917 nt
Filed under: uncultured archaeon
Lineage: Archaea
Description: bacterial SSU rRNA
Rfam family: Archaeal small subunit ribosomal RNA
Source: RNAcentral